ACGGAGGCAGCAGUGGGGAAUAUUGCACAAUGGGGGAAACCCUGAUGCAGCGACGCCGCGUGAGUGAAGAAGUAUCUCGGUAUGUAAAGCUCUAUCAGCAGGGAAGAAAAUGACGGUACCUGACUAAGAAGCCCCGGCUAACUACGUGCCAGCAGCCGCGGUAAUACGUAGGGGGCAAGCGUUAUCCGGAUUUACUGGGUGUAAAGGGAGCGUAGACGGCGAUGCAAGUCUGAAGUGAAAGGCGGGGGCUCAACCCUUGGACUGCUUUGGAAACUGUAUUGCUAGAGUGCAGGAGAGGUAAGUGGAAUUCCUAGUGUAGCGGUGAAAUGCGUAGAUAUUAGGAGGAACACCAGUGGCGAAGGCGGCUUACUGGACUGUAACUGACGUUGAGGCUCGAAAGCGUGGGGAGCAAACAGGAUUAGAUACCCUGGUA
Molecule: ribosomal RNA, 433 nt
Filed under: uncultured Clostridium sp.
Lineage: Bacteria; Bacillati; Bacillota; Clostridia; Eubacteriales; Clostridiaceae
Description: partial 16S ribosomal RNA
Rfam family: Bacterial small subunit ribosomal RNA
Source: RNAcentral